Psammomys obesus (fat sand rat) is the source of this 2349-nucleotide long non-coding RNA. RefSeq lists it as uncharacterized. NCBI's taxonomy places the organism in Eukaryota, Metazoa, Chordata, Mammalia, Rodentia, Muridae. The transcript is spliced from 3 exons. The record is from RefSeq and is a predicted model, not a curated record.
CCCGCCGCCCCCCGGGGCUGUGAGCGUGCCCCCGAGGCGAGCCCUCGCCGGGACCGCAGCGCCCCCGGCCUCCACCCCCGCCCCGCAGCCUCGGGCCCUGGAGUCCCCAGCCCCGGGAAAGGCACGGUGGCAGGGGACUUCGCAGCAGUUGCCUCUCUGCCCUAAGGACUUCCCACAGGAAGACGCCAAAACCUGCACAUGUUCCCAAAGAAACCACACAGCUCGCGGUUACAGACAAACAUCCUACGCUAGGUAGCUCCUCUGCAGCCCUCGGGGGGGACUCAGGUGGGUGGCUGCUCUAUUCAGGAAAGGCCCUAGCUUCCUGAAGGGGACGCAGUGCAACUCCGCGUGGCUGCGUGAUCAAGGAAGCCGCCUGUUUCGAACCUCAUCUGAACACCUUCGCCACGGAGUUAGUCUACAGUAACCGAGAAGAAGAUUCCCAUGUGCUCCUAGAACUCCCUUCUCAGAUUUUCCCUCCUAUAGAGAAGAGAGCGGGCUUUGUGGCUCACAGUGGCCUGCUCUCCAGCGCCCUGGCAGACCCUGUGUGCAGCAGCAAGGCCUCUGUGAAUCUCUGUAUCGGAGAAGGAAGCUGUGGGGAGGAAACAGGCUGCUUCCCCAGAGUAGCUGUAAAGAUUCGCAGCUCUCCCACAUCUUGCUUGCUAGUCUCGGGAGGCCUCCGAGCUGGCCCAUUUCAAGCAUCAAGAGGUCGUUAGGACAUCAGAAGAGGGCUGCCAGCAACAGCUUAGAUUCAGACCACUCACAUGCCUCCCUCCCCCUCAAAGACAGAACCAGGCUGGCCUCAAUCUCAGAGAACCGUCUGCCUCUUCCUGAAUGCUGGGAUCACAGGACACCAUGCCCGGCUUAACCUGUAUUAUCAAUCUCAGGUUUUCUUUUCCUUUUUCAGUGAGUCCAGGACAGCCAAGGCUACAGACACCCUGUCUCGAAAAAACAAAGCAAAAAAAGAAAAUAUAGCGCGGUGCUGUGCUGUGCUUGCCUAGUAACUGGAAACCCUGGCACCAAUCUCAGCGCUACACUAAAUAAAUGAGUAAAUCUAAAAUGAGGUAAAAAGGAAAUAAUGACAGCAUUCCUACAGAAGGUAAAGGGGCAGAGAUAGCACAAGAGGCACACUUUCUUCGUUGCUUUGCCGUUCUCUUUCUCUGAGAAGACUUCCCAGGGCCCGAGGUGGCCUCAGACUUGUUCUGUUGAUCUGGGGCAUGCAGGAAGCCUGAGGUUUAAUGGACUGCAUAAAUUACCCAGCUUAUGGUUGGCCCCAGGUGUGAUCUGGAAGUACAGUCAGGAGGAUCAGAUUUGGUUUCAAUGUUGUUGUCUUUUUUCAAGACAGGGUGUUGGAGGUUGGUCUGAUACUAAUUACUGGCCCUCUGUGUAAACCUGCCUAAUUCAUACUUGAUUGACCAAGUAAACAGCCUAUACCUGGGCAGGGCAGAAUGGGUGGGCGUGGCUAAAGUCCCAGGGCUUUGGAGAAUCCCAUGAGAAAUCACAGGAAGGACAGAGAGGAAGAAGGAGGAUGCCAGGAUGGGUUAGCCUGGAAAACACACCACGUGGGCCGAGAAAGAACUCCAGUAAUGGCGUGAAAAGGCUCAGAUGGAGAAUAUAAGCACGUACCAUGGGAUUAUGGAUGGAAGGUAGUCCAACUGAGGAGGAUUAAGGCAGAUGGCGUUGGUUGGGGGCUGGGAGAUGGAUGGUGAGGUUUCUGAGACUGUAUGUAAGUGAAAUAUCUGCCCAGCCCAAGGUAAAUAAGGCAAUUAUAAAUCUAACAGGUGUCUGUGUCUCAUUUGUGAUAGUAGGUUAAAUAAUACCGCCGUGAUAAUCAUAGGGCUAAUAAUAAAGUUUAUAGCCCAACACAUUUUUAAAAUUAAGUAUAACACCUCCUCUAAUCUUUUAGGGACUUCCUCUCAGGCCAAGCCAAGAUCAUGGCUUUAAAGCAGAGGGGAAUUUCAGGACUAGCCAAUAAGAAGGAGAGCUGGGGGUUAUUUUUAUCCUUUCUGGGGGCAGUCAGGAUCAGAGUUUCUUCUACACAGCUCUAACCUGCUAUCUAAAUCAGUUUGGCCUCAGACUCACAGAGAUCUGCCCAGAGUAAAGAUGUGACCUUAGCACAACUGACUACACAAUGGAAGUACCAUUCAGGCAGUAGAACUCAGCACUUAGGCGGUUCUACCUGCCAAGCACAAGCAAAGGCCAAAGUCUGUAGUUCUAGGAAAGUCUCUAAAUGUUCUUGUUGGGUCUCAAUCCAAAACAAACAGGUAACUAAGAACCUGAGUAACAUAUCUAAGUGGAUCCUGGCUGCCAGGUUCUCCCAGCAUCCUUCAGUCCCUACCUGUGCAUACCUUG